UUUACAACUGAUACUUACCUGAGACGGUGUUCAACUUUCUGUUGGGCCAUUGCAUUGCCACUGAUUUUCCAACAUAUAAAAAGACAAGCCCGAACAGUCGUCCGGGCUUUUUUU
Molecule: small RNA, 114 nt
Filed under: synthetic construct
Description: mARi-A
Source: RNAcentral